CAUUGUGUUACCAAAGAUCACCUCUUUCCUAUCAUCUUCCUUCUGAGAUGCAUGUAGAGCUAGAUUGGAAGCUGUGUUUUGAUCCUGAAGAUUCAAGAUAAGAAAGCAUUGCUCAAAUUCUGGAUGAAGCAGCUACUGAAGUAAUCUCCUGUGAUGUUUUUUCCUCCAGGAAUCCUUGCCUAUUUGCUCAGAAUCUCCUUACGACGUUCAUCUGCUCCUUUCCUUCCUGAGUUCCCAACUCACUCCCAUCGGCACCAGGAAGGGACAAAGUGAGGCACAUGGGGUCAGAAGGAGGUGGCUGUGACUUCACAGGACCUGACUGAUCCCUGACGCUGAGGAGCCCCCACCCGGCAUUUCAUUUCAGAGCCAUUUCUGCGGGUUAAUGAAGAGAAAAGGAACAUCAUGGCUAAGGGAGCAGGGAAGGUACAGAGAACUCCCAAAGCAAUAGGGGCUGUUAAUGUAAGCUGUUCAUGUGUCUAACCCCCGUUCUGGAACAUCAACUCUCUGUGCACAGAGAUGUGCCGAUUUCAUUCUUAUAUUCCUGGUGCCCAGCAGUACAGGUGCUUAAAAAGGUUAAUUUUUCUGAUUAUAUGCAACGCACUGCAGCCAUGUUAAGACACCAACUGAGUUUCCACUUGGAGGCUUGGAGGAAAGAUUACCAUUAAAACGUGACUUCCAUCCACUCAGCUGAAAUUACUAUUGAUUGCCAAAGAAAAAUAUUUGUGCUGUGAAGCUGGGAGCUAUGAUGUUGAACCGUAUUAACAUAAUGUUAGCAUAGCUACGGGUGUUUAGUAGCACGCAAUCAGAUUUGAAAUGAACGUUGAUUAUAGAUGGAGAUUAAUGUUCACAUAUUCAUAGGAACACAAUGAGAAGAGCAAUUUCUUUUCUACUACAGAUCAAUGGUUUCCCCAUUCAAUUAUACAGCUGUAAUAAUUGCAUUAUGCUGAAAUAUUUUUAAUGGCUAAUUUCUUUCCUUUUGUGUGUGUGUGUAUGAGAUCUUUUGUCAGUGAUAGCUUCUGCAGCCCGAGGACAGCAUAAGAUGUUUUAAUCACUGGUGUCGUUUUGCAAUCUUUGACCAAGCCAGUAAUUUCCCCCUUCUCCCCUUCUUUGCUAUCCUCUCUUAUUAUCAUCCAGAAUCACUUCCUGGUUGAUUGAAACAGAGGGACUUGCCUCAAGUCUUUUUUUUUUUUUUUUUUAACAUCUUUAUUAGAGUAUAAUUGCUUUACAAUGGUGUGUUAGUUUCUGCUUUAUAACAAAGUGAAUCAGUUAUACAUAUACAUAUAUCCCCAUAUCUCUUCCCUCUUGC
Molecule: long non-coding RNA, 1306 nt
Organism: Balaenoptera acutorostrata (minke whale)
Lineage: Eukaryota; Metazoa; Chordata; Mammalia; Artiodactyla; Balaenopteridae
Exons: 4
Source: RefSeq, a predicted model, not a curated record